CCUACGGGUGCAGCAGUGGGGAAUAUUGGACAAUGGGCGAAAGCCUGAUCCAGCCAUGCCGCGUGUGUGAAGAAGGCCUUCGGGUUGUAAAGCACUUUCAGUGGGGAAGAAAGCCUUGGGGCUAAUACCCUCGAGGAAGGACAUCACCCACAGAAGAAGCACCGGCUAACUCCGUGCCAGCAGCCGCGGUAAUACGGAGGGUGCGAGCGUUAAUCGGAAUUACUGGGCGUAAAGCGCGCGUAGGCGGUCUGAUAAGCCGGUUGUGAAAGCCCCGGGCUCAACCUGGGAACGGCAUCCGGAACUGUCAGGCUAGAGUGCAGGAGAGGAAGGUAGAAUUCCCGGUGUAGCGGUGAAAUGCGUAGAGAUCGGGAGGAAUACCAGUGGCGAAGGCGGCCUUCUGGACUGACACUGACGCUGAGGUGCGAAAGCGUGGGUAGCAAACAGGAUUAGAUACCCUUGUAGUC
This 464-nucleotide ribosomal RNA is filed under the name Vreelandella stevensii. RNAcentral describes it as "partial 16S ribosomal RNA". It matches the Rfam family "Bacterial small subunit ribosomal RNA", at positions 338 to 795 of the family's 1533-position model. Lineage: Bacteria; Pseudomonadati; Pseudomonadota; Gammaproteobacteria; Oceanospirillales; Halomonadaceae. The record is from RNAcentral.